UUAACAAUAGCUAAUAGAAGAAGAGAUAAGGCAUAUUCAAGUAGUUGUUGUUUCUUCUUCUAAAGAAUGCCUUUUGAGGAUUUCCACCGUCUCAACCUCCGCACUGCAAAUUCAGCCCCGAAAAAAAGUAGGGUCUAAGAAUCUUGUACUUCCCGAUUUUGGUGAGGUCCACAACCGUUGAGCCUGCUCUACCCGAAGGCAGCACACCGCCAUCAUAAACGAAGGCACAAUGUUCCCAAAGAUUCUCAAAAUCUUUGAUGCUAACACUACUUGGCUGCCCGCUUGGAUUUGCACUUGUAAGAGCCAACGCACUCCCCAAUCCACGAGCAACGAUCCUGAUGAAGUCAUAGUCUGGCACUCGAACUCCUAUACUGUCUAAUCCCGGAUUUAAAGACUUCUCGAGUAUGCUCGACUCACCUGAAAAUAUUAGAGGGAACACAUAAUUGUUUCAAACCAAAAUGACUCAGGUGUGGACACAACUCUUCUACAUAAGAUCAAAGGUGCAAUAAGCCAACAUAUUAACUCAAAGUCAGUGGUCAACUAGUCCAGAGACUAUAGCUCAGUCGAACUUCUAAUCAAAAAUAGAGCACUAGCCCAAACGAAUCCUAUUUCAACUAUCAUUCGGAUUGUUACAACCUCUAGCAGACAGUAUAAAAUUGAUUCUAAAAGAACUAACAUUGGCUCUAGCGUCCAAUGGGUGCACCUGAUCCAAUUCAGUUGGAACAGUCACCUGCUUUCAUUGGUGGAGAGCUCAAUCCCUUGCUUUGUUCUAUAGCUUAGCCUUCUUCAAAAAGGCUUGGUAAAAAGUACUAUGGAUUUUUUUUUUCUCAUGAGAUACAUUAUGGAAACUUGAACUUUUAACCCUACAUUCUCAAGUGAAACUAAGAAAGUUUCUAUUUUGCAGAUAUCUUAGUCCUAAAAGAUACAAACCCUUGACUUCUUUUUCGGAAAAAGAUUAUCAAGAACAAACCUCGCUUUAGUACAACAGUGACAGGUCCCGGAAGGAGAGAUUCAAGUAAGCCAUCAGGCAAAUGCUCGGUGUCGGCAAAGCGUUUGAUUUCUAACACAUCCCCAACACAUAUUGCAAGAGGACUAGUGUGUUUACGCCCUUUAAUCUCAUAAAUCCUAUUUACUGCUUCCGAAGAACUGCAUUAACAUUUAGGUUCCCAUGUGAAAAUUGAUUGCUAAACUUACAAAGCUAAGCAUAAUUCAUCAAACAUUUUGAUCAGCAACCAGAAAAAAAAAAACAAAGCACUUGUUUUCUGAAUACUGUUAAUAUGAAUGAACUUUUCUUCAAGACAAAA
Cannabis sativa is the source of this 1304-nucleotide long non-coding RNA. RefSeq lists it as uncharacterized. Lineage: Eukaryota; Viridiplantae; Streptophyta; Magnoliopsida; Rosales; Cannabaceae. The record is from RefSeq and is a predicted model, not a curated record. The transcript has 2 exons.